This 486-nucleotide ribosomal RNA is filed under the name uncultured bacterium. RNAcentral describes it as "bacterial SSU rRNA". It matches the Rfam family "Bacterial small subunit ribosomal RNA", at positions 28 to 524 of the family's 1533-position model. The record is from RNAcentral.
GACGAACGCUGGCGGCGUGCUUAACACAUGCAAGUCACGGGGGUCCCGCAAGGGAUAACCGGCGAACGGGUGCGUAACACGUGAGCAACCUGCCGUACUCAGGGGGAUAGCCGGCCCAACGGCCGGGUAAUACCGCAUACGAUUCUUCGGGGGAGUCCCCGGGGAAGGAAACCUCUGGGGGAGUACGAGGGGCUCGCGGCCUAUCAGCUAGUUGGUGCGGUAACGGCGCACCAAGGCGACGACGGGUAGCUGGUCUGAGAGGAUGGCCAGCCACAUUGGGACUGAGAGACGGCCCAGACUCCUACGGGAGGCAGCAGUGGGGAAUCUUGCGCAAUGGCCGAAAGGCUGACGCAGCGACGCCGCGUGGGGGAUGAAGCAUUUCGGUGUGUAAACCCCUGUUGCCCGGGACGAACAGCGCUUUUCGAGGCGCCUGACGGUACCGGGUGAGGAAGCACCGGCUAACUCCGUGCCAGCAGCCGCUGUAAC